This 153-nucleotide ribosomal RNA is filed under the name Agroathelia rolfsii. RNAcentral describes it as "Athelia rolfsii 5.8S rRNA". It matches the Rfam family "5.8S ribosomal RNA". Rfam says of the family: 5.8S ribosomal RNA (5.8S rRNA) is a component of the large subunit of the eukaryotic ribosome. Lineage: Eukaryota; Fungi; Basidiomycota; Agaricomycetes; Amylocorticiales; Amylocorticiaceae. The record is from RNAcentral.
CAACUUUCAACAACGGAUCUCUUGGCUCUUGCAUCGAUGAAGAACGCAGCGAAAUGCGAUAAGUAAUGUGAAUUGCAGAAUCCAGUGAAUCAUCGAAUCUUUGAACGCACCUUGCGCCCUUUGGUAUUCCGAGGGCAUGCCUGUUUGAGAGUC